Equus caballus (horse) is the source of this 2089-nucleotide long non-coding RNA. Lineage: Eukaryota; Metazoa; Chordata; Mammalia; Perissodactyla; Equidae. The record is from Ensembl.
GGCAUUUGCUGACCUAGACCCGGGGCAGGAAGUCUAAACUCUGAGUGGAGGAUCUCCAAUUAAACAGGUCAAUAAUACCUUUGGCACCACAAAGACUUUCCCUCUAGAGCAAGAGAGGCUGGGAGAGAUGAUCGUAGGGUGAUUCACAAGAUAUGCUGGGCUUGAGAAUAGAAGUACACGCUGCUCGUGGGACUUUUAAGAUAUGGAUUUAAGACAAGUAGAAUCACCUGCCAUACUGGCAGAGAUACAUUUCAUGCUUGUGGAAGCAGGAUCAGACUUGUUUGGAGCCAAUCAUAGGAGGAAGUUCCCACAAGACAGAGUGUGGUUGACAACUUUCGAACAAUCUAAACUGUUGAAACAUGGAGCCAGGCUGCCUCUGAGAAAAGUCACACCAGUGUGGGGUGUGGUGGAGGCUGGUGAUGCUGGAGUAGUUGUAAUAUUUCUCUUGAAAUUUGUGCUGCUGCUUUGCAAGACCAAUGGGAUCAUCAAAGUAUGUCCCACUCUUUAGCAAAAUGGGCUCCAUAGAAUACUAAUUCCAUGAGAUCCAUGUCCUAGGGCCAACGUGAAAGAAUGUUGCCCAUCCAUAGCCCCCAUCCUCUUGUAGAUUUGCAUGUAAAGGCUCUGAGAAAGGCUGGAGUAAAGAAACCUGUUUCAUUUUGAAUAAUCCUGCGUUUCUCUAACUUCUUUGACUAUGGUGACCAUUUUUACCUAAUACUACUAUCCUUCUGGGGGCUGAUGCUCCAUAGUGAACCCUUUGGGUAACAUUUUUGGGUAAUCCCAUGGAUUCAGUAGUCACAGACACAGGGUCCCACAGAAUGCAGAAUUUUUUGACUAAAGAAAGCAAAGGCCCGAAAGGGUUAUACGAAAGUAAUGACCAAUGGCCAUUAACCCUGACCUACAAGAACUUGAAAUUUUAAAAUGUCAACAAAUGACUGUGUAGGAUUAGCUCAUGGAUUAUGAUGUAAUAUUAUAUUAUAUAUAAGGUUAGAUGAGAGUUACAAGAAUUCUGGUUUAUAAAUUGUAAGGUACUGUAUAAAUGGUGAAGAUCCUUCUUCUGCCUAACAUGUCGAUGUUAAUGCUGGCAUCAGGAAGAUAAGUAUAUCCUCCGUGGCUUUCCUGUUUCGUGAGAGUGGUUUGCAUGAACCUCUCCACAGACUCCAUCUUUUAACCACUUUCACGAGUUAGUGAGAUGACCUGUUACCCCAGUGUGGAAGCUUGCAGCAAAGUCAUUGGGCCCCUGGAACGGGACGUCGCAUCUACGACCUUUCAGUCACACCCAGCCAAGCUGACUAGCAAGGGAAGGCACAAAGUUACAAGUAGGGUCAAACCCUCAGCAGAGUUUUAGAUACUGGCUCCUAAUUCUCAUAAACACCUGUGAAGAAAACAAAGUCCUCCAAAUUCUGUGUGGUCAGGACUAAAAAAAAGGAAGAAAAAGAAGAAGAAGGCCGCGUCACCACCACCAAAAGAAAAGAGAGUGAAACAGACAGAAGGACCCGGUUGAUGAAGCCUUGGUAUCUUAUCUCUGGAAUGUUAUUGAUGAUCUGAAUGUAGUGUGAGAUCUUAAGUGAAAUGAAUUGGUGGUUUCAGUUCCGGAUAUAGUAUGCAAAGAAAAAAAAAUUGCUCUUUGAAAUUCAGAGCUUCCUCGUCUGUGCUUCAGGAAGCCACACGCCUGAAGCUGAGCGUGGAAACUGACUCAUUUCUAGCCCUUUGAGAUUAGCCUCUCCAGCCCCCAGACGGUGGGCAGGAUCUGAGGCCUAAUGGGAAACCAGAAUUGGGUCUGGCCAAACCUGGAGGAGAUCACAGAGAAGGUUGUCGGAUGAAUGUCUCUUUUAGGGUACGUGACCUCUCAGAAGGUUCUACAGGCAGUGGACCUUCUGGAUAAACUAUCCUCGAAGCUUUUCAACUUGCAGUCGGUGGUAGGUGGGUGGUCUGAAGUGGGAGAAAACAAAAAUACAAGUACAGCACUUACCUUAUUAUGAGAGUCACAUUCAGGUCACGAUGUUCUAGGCAAAGCUCCCUGUUGAUGUACAUCUCUCAUGCAAGAUUUAGAUCACCUCUUUUCGGGCAGAGCUCCAUGGAAACACCGCCC